CAGCCGCCGCGGUAAUACGUAGGUGGCAAGCGUUGUCCGGAAUUAUUGGGCGUAAAGCGAGCGCAGGCGGUUAGAUAAGUCUGAAGUUAAAGGCUGUGGCUUAACCAUAGUACGCUUUGGAAACUGUUUAACUUGAGUGCAAGAGGGGAGAGUGGAAUUCCAUGUGUAGCGGUGAAAUGCGUAGAUAUAUGGAGGAACACCGGUGGCGAAAGCGGCUCUCUGGCUUGUAACUGACGCUGAGGCUCGAAAGCGUGGGGAGCAAACAGGAUUAGAUACCCCGGUAGUCCCUGUCUCUUAUACA
Molecule: ribosomal RNA, 301 nt
Filed under: uncultured bacterium
Lineage: Bacteria
Description: partial 16S ribosomal RNA
Rfam family: Bacterial small subunit ribosomal RNA
Source: RNAcentral